Molecule: non-coding RNA, 479 nt
Organism: Meleagris gallopavo (turkey)
Lineage: Eukaryota; Metazoa; Chordata; Aves; Galliformes; Phasianidae
Source: RefSeq, a predicted model, not a curated record
CCCUGCUUUGCACAACACAGACUCGAAGAGCAUCAUGUGCUGAGCUUGAGAUGUAGAGACCUGCUGCUGUUCCUGACCUGCUGUGGGCUGUGGCUGGCUGACCUGCCCUCUGCUCCACUCUACAAAGCUGGUAUCUUCACUGCUCCUCUGCUCCAAGACUGAAUGGCCAGAGCCCAGCUCACCUUAUCAGAGCAAUCAUUUGUGAAGCUGCAUUACAGUGGAUGCUAAAUUUGACAAGCUGGAUAUGAUGCAUAUAUUGAAACAUUCUUCACAUGAAGAUUUUGGCUUUAGAGACAACAGGUUUUUGAAGACCUUAUUUUGUGAAGGAACCAAACUUCAGACCUUUGAAGGAAUCAUGCUUUGUUUUUCAGAGGAGUGAUAAAGACAUUGCUGUGCUCGUCUGUGCUGUGGUUCUCUGUACAAAUGUGAACCCUCGUCUCAGUGUCUGACUUGUGAAGCCACAUGGAAAUAGGUGAACA